RNAcentral lists this ribosomal RNA (253 nucleotides) under uncultured bacterium. Its description in RNAcentral is "partial 16S ribosomal RNA". It matches the Rfam family "Bacterial small subunit ribosomal RNA", at positions 524 to 776 of the family's 1533-position model. The record is from RNAcentral.
UACGUAGGGUGCAGGCGUUAAUCGGAAUGACUGGGCGUAAAGCGUGCGCAGGCGGUCGCUUAAGACAGGUGUGAAAUCCCCGGGCUUAACCUGGGAACUGCGCUUGUAACUGAGAGGCUAGAGUGUGGCAGAGGGGGGUGGAAUUCCACGUGUAGCAGUGAAAUGCGUAGAGAUGUGGAGGAACACCGAUGGCGAAGGCAGCCCGCUGGGCUAACACUGACGCUCAUGCACGAAAGCGUGGGGAGCAAACAGG